Bos taurus (domestic cattle) is the source of this 1914-nucleotide long non-coding RNA. The record is from Ensembl. Lineage: Eukaryota; Metazoa; Chordata; Mammalia; Artiodactyla; Bovidae.
UCAUUGCUAUAAGACGUGAGGCUUGUACUAACAAACACCAGUGUGUUUUUCAUCUGGGUCAAGAGGACGCAGGCUUCCCACCUCCAAGUGGAGGUUGAAAUUGAUCCCAUGCAGGGCCCUGUGGGGCUCCUGGGCACAAGACCUUUCUGUGUCCCCCAUUUCUUUGAUUAUAGGAAACAGCCUUUAUUCAGCCCGCAUGACCUUUCCUGGGUUCCAAUGGGCAGAUUCAAGCCACUGUUAAUUAGGGAAGGAAGGGGAUGUGAGACCAGGGAGAAAGAGUCAAGAGCAGCUUUGAGGCAGGGUCCUGUUUCCCCAUCAAAGGAUACACACAACAGUAUCUCUGAGCUGCUCUACAGAUACUGAAACCCCCUCCAGGUGGGAGAAGUUAGUGAUUAAUGAUGGUAUGUUGCCCACAAGCUUGUAGACCCCACAUCAGUUGGACCUGAAAGUUGAUGAUGUGGACUCCUAUUUACCUCAGCACCAACCCACUGGAAGAAUGUCUACAUUGGCUACAAUGUCUACAGUCCAUGGAGUCACAGAGUCAGACAUGACUGAUCGACUAAGCACCUUAGCACGUUCUAAAAGGGCUUCCCUGGUGGCUCAGCAGUAAAGAAUCUGCCUGCAAUGCCCGAGACCCGGCUUCGAUCCCUGGGUUGAGAAGAUCCCCUAGAGGAGGGCAUGGCAACCGACUCCAAUACUCUGGCCUAGAGAAUCCCAUGGGCAGAGGCACCUGGCCGACUGUAGCCCAUAGGAUCACACAGAGUUGGACACGACUGAAGCAACUAAGCAGCAGCAGAAGGCCAAGGCUUCAGAGAGAAAUACUUAAUAAUUAGUAUGUUAAAUUUCAUGGGAUUUCUAAAAAUCUGGUAUGCCCCAGUAAAAUGUUAUCUCAUUGUUUUCUAGUUGUUUUAAAAUGUUGCAUGUCAUAAUAACUCAGUUUAUUUUGUCAAUCCCAUUGUGGCCAAAUGUUUAUGACUUUUUAAAUUCCUUUUUAAAGUCUUUCUGUGAUUUAUAGAUGGCUAUUGUUGUAUUCAUGUAUAUUCAUGUAUGGACAUGAAUUUGAGCAAACUCCAGGAGAUAGUGGAGGACAGAGGAGCCUGGCAUGUUGAAGGCCAUGGGGUCGAAACAAGCUGGACGUAACUCAGGGACUGAACAACAACAACACUGUUGUAGUCUGUUAAAUCUCAGGUUAUACUGGGGAACUAGGUAAGGAAGAAAGUCCUAAGGGAAAGCCUGAUCGCUUCAUACAAAGUUAAAAACAGGAUUGGUUACUAAAUGGACUGUAAAUUAUGGUGAUAAAUUUAUGGGUUUUAUCUGAAAUGUCACUGAUUUUAACUCAUGUUUUCCAGAUAUAGGGAAGCCCUUCUCCUCAAGUUGGUUAUGAUUUACAACAGUUUGGUAAAUUAUACCUCUGUGAGUAAAACAGAGAUAUUUUUCUUUUCCCUCUGCCUGUUCUGUUCAAACAUUGUAAACUCUUGGGUUCUGAGCAGCCUUAUCAAACAAAUGGGAAAGACUCUUCUGGCAUGUGGGGGGAUCUUGAUAGUCUGAGGACUUCUAUAGAAGACAGAAAGUCACCUAGGCAAAAUCUGACGGCAGGCCUUUGACAUGGCUUUCUUGGUCUUGAGGGGCCUUUUGAAACUUUCAUCUGAGACUCCUACUGAGGAAUUACACCAGAAUCAACGUGGAUGAAUCCAUGUGGUCAAUGGACAAAACAGUUUAAAAAUAAAUUAGUCUCAGCUGUACCUGAUGAAAAUGGAGGUGAUUCUAGAAAAAAGAGGUUUCACUGAAUGUUAAAUUCUAGUGUUGUUAAAUAAGGUCUGUGUUUACCCACUUUCCUUGUUGUUGCAUCAUAUUGUUACAAAAUUUAAUUGUCAGAAGAACACUAAGUUUGUUUCUGAAGCCUAACUAUGUAAU